RNAcentral lists this long non-coding RNA (1047 nucleotides) under Mus spicilegus (steppe mouse). Its description in RNAcentral is "lncRNA (ENSMSIG00000026829.1)". The record is from RNAcentral. Lineage: Eukaryota; Metazoa; Chordata; Mammalia; Rodentia; Muridae.
UGACAGACACAGGGAAUACUAGAACUUACAAAGGGUUUUAGGAAUUGAAUUAUUUUUCCUCUUAUUUUGCAAUUAGAAACAAAUUAGAUUAUUGAAUUUGCCUUGCCCAGUCUAUUAAAGGUAUUACCUAGUUCUAAUACUAUUUCAAAUUAUAAUAAUGAAUUAAUAUUUAUGUUGUGAUCUUGGUAUAGCUCUACCUCAAAACUUAACAUUGAAAUUUAUUUUAUCCUUGGAAAAAAAUUUUACUUUGGCUUCAAAUGUACUCUUUUUCUUUUUCUUUUUCUUUUUUUCUUUUUCUUUCUUUUUCUUUUCCUUUUCCUUUUCCUUUUUCUUUCUCUUUCUCUUUUUCUUUUUCUUUUUCUUUUUCUUUUUUUUUCUUGGAUAUUUUCUUUAUUUACAUUUUAAAUGUUUUCCCCUUUCCAGGUCUCUCCUUCAGAAACUCCCUAUCCCCAUCCCCUGUAUCCCUGCCUCUAUGCAGGUGCUCCCCCACCCACCAGUUCCAUCCUCCGGCCGGUCCUGGCAUUCCCCUGCACUGGGGUAUCGAACACCCUCAGUCCCGAGGGCCUCUCCUCCCACUGAUGUCGGACAAGGCCAUCUUCUGCCACAUAUGCCAGCACCAUGGGUCACUCCAUGUGCAUUGUUUGGUUGGUGAUCCAGUCCCCGGGAGCUCUGGGAGGUCUGGCCUGUUGAUACUGUUGCUCCCUCCAUGGGGCUGCAAAACCCCUCAGUUUCUUCAGUCCCUUCUCUAUCUCUUCCAUCGGGGAUCCCCAAGCUCAGUCCAAUAUUUGGCUGCGAGCUUCCUCCUCUGUAUUUUUCAGGCUCUGGCAGAGCCUCUCAGGAGACAGCCAUAUCAGGCUUCUAUCAGCAAGCACUUCCCAGCAUCCACAAUAACGUCCAAGUUUGGUGGCUGUAUAUGGGAUGGAUCUCCAGAUUUACUCUUUUUUAAAAUUUGUAAUGCGUAGUGUCAUUGAAGUCAUCCUACAGGGUUCAUCUAAGUUUCUUUUCAGACUCAUCUGUCUGCUCAUGAAAAGCGCUGGACACCAGCAG